UCCUGGCUCAGAACGAACGCUGGCGGCGUGCUUAACACAUGCAAGUCGAACGUGAAAGAGGCUUCGGCCUCAAGUAAAGUGGCGCACGGGUGAGUAACACGUGAAUAAUCUGCCCGGGAAUCUGGGAUAACACUUCGAAAGGGGUGCUAAUACCGGAUAAGCCCACGCUUUCUUUGGAGAGUGCGGGAAAAGGUGGAGCUUUGGUUUACCGUUUCCGGAUGAGUUCGCGGCCCAUUAGCUAGUUGGUGAGGUAAAGGCCCACCAAGGCGACGAUGGGUAGCUGGUCUGAGAGGAUGAUCAGCCACACUGGAACUGAGACACGGUCCAGACUCCUACGGGAGGCAGCAGUGGGGAAUUUUGCGCAAUGGGCGAGAGCCUGACGCAGCAACGCCGCGUGAGUGAUGAAGGCCUUCGGGUCGUAAAGCUCUGUCAGAGGGGAAGAACAACUUGUUGUUGUAUAAGCAGCAGGCCUGACGGUACCCUCAAAGGAAGCACCGGCUAACUCCGUGCC
This 511-nucleotide ribosomal RNA is filed under the name uncultured organism. Its description in RNAcentral is "SSU rRNA". It matches the Rfam family "Bacterial small subunit ribosomal RNA", at positions 17 to 509 of the family's 1533-position model. The record is from RNAcentral.